CAGAGGUCCCGAGCGUUGUUCGGAUUCACUGGGCGUAAAGGGUGCGUAGGUGGCGAGGUAAGUCGGAUGUGAAAUCUCCAAGCUCAACUUGGAAAUGGCAUUGGAAACUACCUUGCUUGAGGUUUGGAGGGGGGACUGGAAUACUUGGUGUAGCAGUGAAAUGCGUAGAUAUCAAGUGGAACACCAGUGGCGAAGGCGAGUCCCUGGACAACACCUGACACUGAGGCACGAAAGCUAGGGGAGCAAACAGGAUUAGAUACCCUGGUAGUCCUAGCUGUAAACGGUGCUUGCUUGCUGUAAAAGGAAUCGACCCCUUUUGUGGCGAAGCCAACGCGUUAAGCAAGCCGCCUGGGAAGUACGGUCGCAAGAUUA
Molecule: ribosomal RNA, 372 nt
Filed under: uncultured organism
Description: bacterial SSU rRNA
Rfam family: Bacterial small subunit ribosomal RNA
Source: RNAcentral